This 293-nucleotide ribosomal RNA is filed under the name uncultured bacterium. Its description in RNAcentral is "partial 16S ribosomal RNA". It matches the Rfam family "Bacterial small subunit ribosomal RNA", at positions 505 to 796 of the family's 1533-position model. The record is from RNAcentral.
GUGUCAGCCGCCGCGGUAAGACGUAGGGAGCGAGCGUUGUCCGGAUUCAUUGGGCGUAAAGAGCGCGCAGGCGGUUUGGUAAGUCGGAUGUGAAAACCCGGGGCUCAACCCCGGGCGUGCAUCUCGAUACUGCCCGACUAGAGGUAGGUAGGGGAGAUCGGAAUUCCUGGUGUAGCGGUGAAAUGCGCAGAUAUCAGGAGGAACACCGGUGGCGAAGGCGGAUCUCUGGGCCUUACCUGACGCUCAGGCGCGAAAGCUAGGGGAGCGAACAGGAUUAGAAACCCUCGUAGUCC